This is a non-coding RNA of Stegodyphus mimosarum, 73 nucleotides long. Lineage: Eukaryota; Metazoa; Arthropoda; Arachnida; Araneae; Eresidae. The record is from Rfam.
GCCUGCGUGGUCUAGUGGUCAUCACGCUCGACGCGUAACCGAGAGGUCCGUGGUUCUAUUCCCGGCGAAGGCG